AAAACUAGUUUAAGUGUUAAAAUUUUAAAACGUCGGAAACUAACCGUGCCUAGGCAUCCCGUCCUUAAUUGGUCCGUAAGUCUUGCGGCGUUCGAAGUUCGGCAAUGUUUUCACGUAAUAUUGAUUUAACACUUAAACUUAUUUUGAAGAAAUAAUAAUGAUUUUCACUAAAAAACAAUUAAAACUUCAACUUUAAGAAAAUAGUUAAUAAUUUUUAACUAUAACCACAUUAAUUUCAUUAUUACUUUAUAAAAAUUAGUUUAAGUAUUAAAUUUUUAAAACAUCGGAAACUAACCGCGCAUAUGCAUCCCGUUCUUAGUUGGUCUGUAAGUCUUGCGGUGUUCGAAAUUCGACAAUGUUUUCACAUAAUAUUGAUUUGACACUUAAACUCAUUUUUAUCACUAAAAAAUUUAAAAUUUAAACUUUAAGAAAAUAGUUAAUAAUUUUUAACUAAAACCAUGUUAAUUUCACUAUUACUAUUAAAAAUUAAUUUAAGUGUUAAAAUUUAAAAACUUUGGAAACUAACCGCACCUAAACAUCCUGUCAUUAAUUGGUCUGUAAGUUUUGCGGUAUUCGAAGUUCGUUAAUAUUUUCACAUAAUAUAGAUUUGACACUUAAACUCAAUUUUUUUUUCCAAUGAGUUUAAGUGUUAAAAUUUUAAAACGUCAAAAUUUAACCGCGCCUACGCAUCCCGUCCUUAAGGAAAAUAAUUUCUAAUUUUUAACUAAAACCAUGUUCAUUUCACUAUUACUUUUAAAAAUUAGUUUAAGUGUUAAAAUUUGAAAAUGCCGGAAACUAACAGCGCCUACGCUGCCUAGGCAUCCAAUCCUUAAUUGAUCUGUAAAUUUUGAUGUGUUCGUAGUUCGGCAAUGUUUUCACAUAAUAUAGAUUUGACACUUAAACUAUUAAAAAAAUAAUUAUGAUUUUCAC
Molecule: small RNA, 930 nt
Filed under: Arabidopsis thaliana (thale cress)
Lineage: Eukaryota; Viridiplantae; Streptophyta; Magnoliopsida; Brassicales; Brassicaceae
Description: putative long intergenic non-coding RNA
Source: RNAcentral